This 252-nucleotide ribosomal RNA is filed under the name uncultured bacterium. RNAcentral's name for it is "partial 16S ribosomal RNA". It matches the Rfam family "Bacterial small subunit ribosomal RNA", at positions 524 to 776 of the family's 1533-position model. The record is from RNAcentral.
UACGGAGGAUCCGAGCGUUAUCCGGAUUUAUUGGGUUUAAAGGGUGCGUAGGCGGAUCGUUAAGUCAGUGGUCAAAUUGAGGGGCUCAACCCCUUCCCGCCAUUGAAACUGGCGAUCUUGAGUGGAAGAGAAGUAUGCGGAAUGCGUGGUGUAGCGGUGAAAUGCAUAGAUAUCACGCAGAACCCCGAUUGCGAAGGCAGCAUGCCGGCUUCCUACUGACGCUGAAGCACGAAAGCGUGGGGAUCGAACAGG